Molecule: non-coding RNA, 140 nt
Filed under: Callithrix jacchus (white-tufted-ear marmoset)
Lineage: Eukaryota; Metazoa; Chordata; Mammalia; Primates; Cebidae
Source: Rfam by way of RNAcentral
GCCGGGUGUGGUGGUGCACGCCUGUAAUUCCAGCUACUCGGGAGGCUGAGGCAGGAGAAUCGCUUGAGCCCGGGAGGCAGAGGUUGCAGUGAGCCGAGAUCGCACCACUGCCUGGGUGACAGAGUGAGACUCUGUCUCAA